GCCCACAUAGCUCAGAGGUAGAGCACCCCCUUGGUAAGGGGGAGGUCGAAGGUUCGAUUCCUUCUGUGGGCACCA
This 75-nucleotide transfer RNA is filed under the name Alphaproteobacteria bacterium. Its description in RNAcentral is "tRNA-Thr". It matches the Rfam family "tRNA". Rfam says of the family: Transfer RNA (tRNA) molecules are approximately 80 nucleotides in length. Their secondary structure includes four short double-helical elements and three loops (D, anti-codon, and T loops). Lineage: Bacteria; Pseudomonadati; Pseudomonadota; Alphaproteobacteria. The record is from RNAcentral.